UCAUCCCUGUUCCGCCUUCGCA
RNAcentral lists this unclassified non-coding RNA (22 nucleotides) under Mus musculus (house mouse). RNAcentral's name for it is "oocyte_clustered_small_RNA4421". The record is from RNAcentral. Lineage: Eukaryota; Metazoa; Chordata; Mammalia; Rodentia; Muridae.